This 385-nucleotide ribosomal RNA is filed under the name Acanthoecida sp. RNAcentral describes it as "partial small subunit ribosomal RNA". It matches the Rfam family "Eukaryotic small subunit ribosomal RNA", at positions 582 to 975 of the family's 1831-position model. The record is from RNAcentral. Lineage: Eukaryota; Choanoflagellata; Acanthoecida.
AUUCCAGCUCCAAUAGCGUAUAUUUAAGUUGUUGCAGUUAAAAAGCUCGUAGUUGGAUUUCGGUUAAGAGCGACCGGUCCGCCGUUUGGUGUGCACUGGUUGGUUUUAACUUCCUGUAGAGGACGUGCUCUGGGCUUAACGGUCUGGACUCGGAGUCUACGUGGUUACUUCGAAAAAAUUAGAGUGUUCAAAGCAGGCGUCGGCUUGAAUACAUUUGCAUGGAAUAAUGGAAUAGGACUUUGGUUCUAUUUUGUUGGUUCCUAGGACCGAAGUAAUGAUUAAUAGGGACAGUUGGGGGCAUUAGUAUUUAAUUGUCAGAGGUGAAAUUCUUGGAUUUAUGAAAGACUAACUACUGCGAAAGCAUUUGCCAAGGAUGUUUUCAUCG